UGCUCAUUCACCGCUAUUCCAAUUUUGACCUUCUCCUUUUUUCCCCUUCAAUUCAAUUUAUCCAUUAGAACCAAACAAUACUGAUCUUCGCCGGCGUAAUUCCGGCCCCGGCAACGGUCCCGGCAGAGAAGAUAUUUUGUUGUAAAAUCAGCUUCGUCCAUAUGACUGAAACUACGAUGAUUCAAACCCUACGUUAUUACCUCUCUGAACAUCCUUCAAUCGUCGGAUUCCGAUGGACUGAUAGCCAAUCAUGGGGCAACACGUGGGUUUUCCUGUUUAUUUCGAUAUCGGCCUACAUUAUUUUAUCAGUUUUCCUCCAUCUCUUCCUCCUCCUGGUGUUCCGUCACCGUCGUCCUCUUCCUCUGGGUCCGAUCCCUGCUGUUCACUCUCUUUCCAUGGCGUUAAUCUCGUUUACUAUAUUCGCCGGAAUCCUCCUCUCCGCUGCGGCAGAGAUCCGUGAUACCCGUUGGUUCUGGCGGAGGUACAAAACGACAGCGUUUCAAUGGCUUCUGUGUUUCCCUAUCGGUACUCGUCCAUCGGGUCGGGUUUUUUUCUGGUCCUACAUCUUCUACCUCUCUCGAUUCGUUCACAGUUUGCGUACGUUUUUCACCAUCCUCCGUCGUCGUAAACUGUCGUUUUAUCAGCUAUUCAAUCACUCCAUUUUAAUUUUCAUGUCAUUUUUAUGGCUUGAAUUCUCCCAAUCAUUUCAAGUACUUGGUAUAAUAUUAACCACAUCAAUUUACUCAGUGGUUUAUGGUUACAGAUUUUGGACUGCUGUUGGAUUACCGAGUAAGUGUUUUCAUUUUGUGAAUCACUGUCAAAUUGUGUUGUUGAGUUGUAAUGUAAUUUGUCAUGUUGGAGUACUUUUGCUUCAUUUGUUAAGAGGGGGAUGUAAUGGAAUUGGUGCUUGGAUUCUCAAUUCAGUACUCAAUGCUGCUAUUCUCUUCUUCUUCCUUAAUUACUAUGUCAAAUUGCAUUUGGAGAAGAAGAGAAAAAUUGGAGCGGAUAAACAAAAGGAUAAUUGACCUCUAGCUAGUACUAAUGCUAAUAAUAUAUAUGUAUAUUUCUUAAACAUUUUUGUAAAUUAAUUUGUG
This 1094-nucleotide unclassified non-coding RNA is filed under the name Hevea brasiliensis (rubber tree). The record is from RNAcentral. Lineage: Eukaryota; Viridiplantae; Streptophyta; Magnoliopsida; Malpighiales; Euphorbiaceae.